Molecule: ribosomal RNA, 1381 nt
Filed under: uncultured bacterium
Lineage: Bacteria
Description: bacterial SSU rRNA
Rfam family: Bacterial small subunit ribosomal RNA
Source: RNAcentral
GAGUUUGAUCCUGGCUCAGGAUGAACGCUGGCGGCGUGCUUAACACAUGCAAGUCGAACGAAGCGGUUAAAUGGAUUUCUUCGGAAUGAAGCUUGGCUGACUUAGUGGCGGACGGGUGACUAACGCGUGGGUAACCUGCCUCAUACAGGGGGAUAACAGUUAGAAAUGGCUGCUAAUACCGCAUAUGCGCACAGUACCGCAUGGUACAGGGCGGAAAGAUUUAUCGGUAUGAAAUGGACCCGCGUGGGAUUAGCCGGUCGGCAGGGUAACGGCCUACCAAGGCGACGAUCCAUACCCGGCCUGAGAGGGUGAACGGCCACAUUGGGACUGACACACGGCCCAAACUCCUACGGGAGGCAGCAGUGGGGAAUAUUGCACAAUGGGGGAAACCCUGAUGCAGCGACGCCGCGUGAAGGAAGAAGUAUCUCGGUAUGUAAACUUCUAUCAUCAGGGAAGAAAAUGACGGUACCUGACUAAAAAGCCCCGGCUAUCUACGUGCCACCAGCCGCGGUAAUACGUAGGGGGCAAGCGUUAUCCGGAUAUACUGGGUGUAAAGGGAGCGUAUACGGCGUCUCAAGUCUGAUGUGAAAGGCAGGGGCUCAACCCCUGGACUGCAUUGGAAACUGGUAUGCUCGAGUGCCGGAGAGGUAAACGGAAUUCCUAGUGUAGCGGUGCGAUGCGUUAGAUAUUAGGAGGCACACCAGGGCCGUAGGCGGCUCAGUGACCGGUAACUGACUUUGAGGCUCGGAAGCGUGGGGAGCAUACAGGAUUAGAUACCAUGCUAGUCCACGCCGUACACGAUGACUACUAGGUGUCGGGGUACACAGUGGUUCGGUGCCGCAGCCAACGCAAUAAGUAGUCCACCUGGGGAGUACGUUCGCAAGAAUGAAACUCAAAGGGAUUGACGGGGACCCGCACAAGCGGUGGAGCAUGUGGUUUAAUUCGAAGCAACGCGAAGAACCCUACCAGAUCUUGACAUCCCGAUGCCCGCUCCGUAAUGGGAGCUUUUUUUCGGAACAUCGGUGACAGGUGGUGCAUGGUUGUCGUCAGCUCGUGUCGUGAGAUGCUGGGUUAAGUCCCGCAACGAGCGCAACCCUUAUCCUCAGUAGCCAGCAUUUCGGAUGGGCACUCUGUGGAGACUGCCAGGGAUAACCUGGAGGAAGGUGGGGAUGACGUCAAAUCAUCAUGCCCCUUAUGAUCUGGGCUACACACGUGCUACAAUGGCGUAAACAAAGGGAAGCGAUCACGUGAGUGUGAGCAAAUCUCAAAAAUAACGUUUCAGUUCGGAUUGUAGUCUGCAACUCGACUACAUGAGGCUGGAAUCGUUGGUAAUCGAGAAUCAGCAUGUCGCGGUGAAUACGUUCCCGGUCCUUGUACACAC